GGUGGUAUAGUAUAGUGGAUAGUACAACACGUUGUGGAUUGUGUAUCUUCACAGGAUUGUGCUUUCGUGCCUCUUUCGAGAGUGUCGCUUUCAUAUUCUUCACAACUGUACCGUGUAGACCUGGGUUCGAUUCCCAGUACCGCCA
Molecule: non-coding RNA, 145 nt
Organism: Hypoxylon sp. CI-4A
Lineage: Eukaryota; Fungi; Ascomycota; Sordariomycetes; Xylariales; Hypoxylaceae
Source: the annotation of a GenBank genome assembly